Molecule: non-coding RNA, 63 nt
Organism: Dipodomys ordii (Ord's kangaroo rat)
Lineage: Eukaryota; Metazoa; Chordata; Mammalia; Rodentia; Heteromyidae
Source: Rfam
GGGAAUGUGGCUUAGUGGUAGAGUGCUUGCCUAGCAUGCAUGAAGCCCUGGGUUCCAUUCCUU